This 461-nucleotide ribosomal RNA is filed under the name Treponema socranskii. RNAcentral's name for it is "bacterial SSU rRNA". It matches the Rfam family "Bacterial small subunit ribosomal RNA", at positions 40 to 496 of the family's 1533-position model. Lineage: Bacteria; Pseudomonadati; Spirochaetota; Spirochaetia; Treponematales; Treponemataceae. The record is from RNAcentral.
CGGGCGUCUUAACAUGCAAGUCGAGCGGCAGGCAGCAAUGCCGAGAGCGGCGGACUGGUGAGUAACACGUGGAUAACGUACCCCGAUGUCUGGGACAGCCUGUAGAAAUAGAGGGUAAUACCGGAUAGAUCACUGUUUACGUGAGGUAGACAGCGGGAAAGGAGCUUCGGCUCCGCGUCGGGAACGGUCUGCGGCCCAUCAGCUAGACGGCGGGGUAAGUGCCCGCCGUGGCGAGGACGGGUAUCCGGCCUGAGAGGGCGGACGGACACAUUGGGACUGAGAUACGGCCCAGACUCCUACGGGAGGCAGCAGGUAAGAAUAUUCCGCAAUGGGGGGAACCCUGACGGAGCGACGCCGCGUGAACGAAGAAGGCCGGAAGGUUGUAAAGUUCUUUUCUGUUCGAGGAAUAAGUUUCGGAGGAAAUGCCGGGACGGUGACGGUAGGGCAGGAAUAAGCACGGC